Molecule: long non-coding RNA, 1560 nt
Organism: Cebus imitator (Panamanian white-faced capuchin)
Lineage: Eukaryota; Metazoa; Chordata; Mammalia; Primates; Cebidae
Exons: 4
Source: RefSeq, a predicted model, not a curated record
UUUUUUGUGUAUCUUUGUCAGGUUUUGGUAUUAGUGAUAUUAAUAUUAUACUCAUGUCAUAAUUAAAAAUUUUUCCUUUUUGCAUGCCUCAGGACAGUGUAAACAGUAUAAGGAUUAUCUCUGUUUUAUAAAGGUUUGGUGUAAUUCUUCCAUGAAACUGCCAUGGCCUGGCAUUCUGAAGUAGUUUAUUCUUUGUAUAGCUUUCUCUAUUUCUUCUCGGUCUGUUAAGACUUUCUUUUAUUGUGUCAACAUGGGUAAGUCAUAUUUUUUAAGGAAAUUAUCCACCUUAUUGAGGUUCUAAAUGUAAAGAAUUCUGCAAAUUAACUUAUUAUGUGCUUUUGGGAUAAGUUGCUACACAUGUGUUUUGCAUCUAUGUUCACAUCUUCAUUUUUUAUAGAUUUAGGAACAAUUAAUUCUAGUUUCUCUUUUUAAAAAGUCUAACUAGAAAAUGGAAUGCUGUAAUGUGUAUUCAAAUAACUCCUUUUGUUCUCUAUCCAACCAGUGCAUUAUUUUUACUAGGUAAAAAACUCUGAUUCUGUCCCCAUUUCUUUGUAAAGUAUUAGUCUUGCAGCUGUCACAGGAACUUUGUAUCAACACAAACACAGGCUGUUACUUAUCAUCUUUUUGGAAAUGUCAUCUAGUGGAUUAAUGAGUCUCUGGUCUGGAUUGAUAGUUUGUGUCUUAUUUCAAGCCCUUUUCUAUCUGGUGUGCAUCUUGAGGAUAAACUGGAACAAAGUUGCUGAGCAGGCACAGGUUCCAGCUGGGCUAAAAGGGAAUAAAGAGACCAUGCCUACCUCCUCAGAUCUACCUAUCCUGGGAAAAGAAGUAACUGGUGGAAUCAUUUUGCCUGAUAUCAUCAGACCAGAGAGCCAGACCCUUCAACUGAGGGACUGGAAGAAAACACCCAGUAUGUCGUGUCUACCAUUAGAGAGGUCCUGACAGUGAGGCAGCUGAUAUUCUACUGUGGGAUGGAUUUAGCUCUCGCUGUUGCAGUCCUUUUAGCAGGAAUUUUCUUCAAGAGUUUUCAAUGACCACAGCUAACAUGGAAGAAUUACCACCAUUCUACAAACUAGACGUGAUAAUUAUAUGCCAUAUAUUAAGUAUGAAAGGUGAUCUUGUUAUUUGGACAGUUUUAACUGUGGAUGUAAAGAACAUUGGGGAUGUUUACUUGGUUAUUCCGAGAAAUUGCACUAUCCUUUUGGAGAUCAAGAAAGGAGCUAUAAUUUUAAGUAAACUUUUCCUCUGUUAAUUUUAUCAUGGUUUCUAAAUAUACAAAUUAGAUUUUCUUUGAUGUAAAGGUUAUUUACCCUUUCUUAUUUCACACAUCUUUCUUCUCCUGAGAAGUGGUUCAUAGUCCUAUAAAAUAUUAUUGCUGAUGAGUUUUCUUUGUAUUUUUCUGUGAAUGUACUUAAUCUUGUCAGUGAUUGUAUAUUAAGUGCCUGUUCAAGUCCUAUCUCAGGUAUUGCCAUAUAAGCUUUUAUAAAACGGAACAUCUUAAAAUUUACAAUAUAUGUUGACAAUAUUUGGAGCUAUACAGUCAAUAUAAAAGAUUAGCUUUUA